UGCCGAAAAAAAUCCGACGUAUCGGGAAUCACAACGCCGGAGGGAAAUCUGUAAAUUAUUUGGCGGGUGGGAGCUAUUAGUACCUGAAUUCUGGGAAGCAGACGGAGCGGAUUGGUAUAAAGUCUUAAGACGGCGUGCAGUAAGAUUCCAAAAGGAACUAGGCAAACCCAGGGCCCGACUGUUUACCAAAAAACGUAGCCCUCAGCCCACCAAGUGUUGAAGGUGAUGCCCGCCCAGCCACACCACGUUCAACGGCCGCGGUAUCCUCACCGUGCGAAGGCAGCGCAAUCCGUUGUCUCAUAAAUCGAGCCCUGUAUGAACGGCUAAACGAGGGCUUAACUGUCUCUCGCGGGCAAUCAGUGAAAUUGAUCUUCCUCUGCAAAAGCAGGAAUACGCGCGUAAGACGAGAAGACCCUGUGGAACUUAAAAAUCACAAGCCACGACACGCAAACUCAACCCUACCAGGCCCACUCAACCGUCAAACACCCGGCUUCCAUUUUUCGGUCGGGGCGACCUUGGUGAAAAACAAAUCCUCCAAAAAUAAGGCCGUAAAGCCCUAACCAAGAGCAACAUCUUGACGUGCCAAAAGCACCCAGACCCAAUACCCUUGACCAAUGAAGCAAGCUACCCCGGGGAUAACAGCGCAAUCUCCCCCAAGAGCCCAUACCGACAGGGAGGUUUACGACCUCGACGUUGGAUCAGGACAUCCUAAGGGUGCGGCAGCUAUUAAGGGUUCGUUUGUUCAACGAUUAACAGUCCUACGUGAUCUGAGUUCAGACCGGACCUGGAAACGGAUCCAACAGCAAAAGUAGGC
This 814-nucleotide non-coding RNA is filed under the name Leptosomus discolor (cuckoo roller). Its description in RNAcentral is "Archaeal large subunit ribosomal RNA". It matches the Rfam family "Bacterial large subunit ribosomal RNA", at positions 1667 to 2627 of the family's 2925-position model. The record is from Rfam by way of RNAcentral. Lineage: Eukaryota; Metazoa; Chordata; Aves; Leptosomiformes; Leptosomidae.